GAUGAACGCUGGCGGCGUGCCUAAUACAUGCAAGUCGAGCGAACAGAUAAGGAGCUUGCUCCUUUGACGUUAGCGGCGGACGGGUGAGUAACACGUGGGUAACCUACCUAUAAGACUGGGAUAACUUCGGGAAACCGGAGCUAAUACCGGAUAAUAUUUCGAACCGCAUGGUUCGAUAGUGAAAGAUGGUUUUGCUAUCACUUAUAGAUGGUCCCGCGCCGUAUUAGCUAGUUGGUAAGGUAACGGCUUACCAAGGCGACGAUACGUAGCCGACCUGAGAGGGUGAUCGGCCACACUGGAACUGAGACACGGUCCAGACUCCUACGGGAGGCAGCAGUAGGGAAUAUUCCGCAAUGGGCGAAAGCCUGACGGAGCAACGCCGCGUGAGUGAUGAAGGUCUUCGGAUCGUAAAACUCUGUUAUUAGGGAAGAACAUACGUGUAAGUAACUGUGCACGUCUUGACGGUACCUAAUCAGAAAGCCACGGCUAACUACGUG
RNAcentral lists this ribosomal RNA (497 nucleotides) under uncultured bacterium. RNAcentral describes it as "partial 16S ribosomal RNA". It matches the Rfam family "Bacterial small subunit ribosomal RNA", at positions 28 to 507 of the family's 1533-position model. The record is from RNAcentral.